Molecule: ribosomal RNA, 411 nt
Filed under: Virgibacillus indicus
Lineage: Bacteria; Bacillati; Bacillota; Bacilli; Caryophanales; Bacillaceae
Description: bacterial SSU rRNA
Rfam family: Bacterial small subunit ribosomal RNA
Source: RNAcentral
AACAGGAUUAGAUACCCUGGUAGUCCACGCCCUAAACGAUGCCAACUAGGUGUUGGGAAGAGACCUUAGUACCGUAGCUAACGCGUGAAGUUGGCCGCCUGGGGAGUACGGCCGCAAGGUUAAAACUCAAAGGAAUUGACGGGGACCCGCACAAGCGGUGGAUGAUGUGGAUUAAUUCGAUGCAACGCGAAAAACCUUACCUACCCUUGACAUGUCCGGAAUCCUGAAGAGAUUUGUGAGUGCCCGAAAGGGAGCCGGAACACAGGUGCUGCAUGGCUGUCGUCAGCUCGUGUCGUGAGAUGUUGGGUUAAGUCCCGCAACGAGCGCAACCCUUGUCGUUAAUUGCCAUCAUUUAGUUGGGCACUUUAACGAGACUGCCGGUGACAAACCGGAGGAAGGUGGGGAUGACGU